Molecule: transfer RNA, 70 nt
Filed under: Marmota monax (woodchuck)
Lineage: Eukaryota; Metazoa; Chordata; Mammalia; Rodentia; Sciuridae
Description: tRNA.Gly
Source: RNAcentral
GGGUUGGGGCUCAGCGGUUCAGCACUCACCUCCCACGGGCGAGGCCCUGGGUUCAAUCCUCAGCACCACA